CGAAAUGCGAUAAGUAAUGUGAAUUGCAGAAUUCAGUGAAUCAUCGAAUCUUUGAACGCACCUUGCGCUCCUUGGUAUUCCUUGGAGCAUGCCUGUUUGAGUAUCAUGAAAUCUUCAAAGUAAAUCUUUUGUUAACUCAAUUGGUUUCUACUUUGGUAUUGGAGGUCUUUGCAGCUUCACACCUGCACCUCUUUGUUCAUUAGCUGGAUCUCAGUGUUAUGCUUGGUUCCACUCGGCGUGAUAAGUUAUCUAUCGCUGAGGACACUGUAAAAGGUGGCCAAGGUAAAUGCAGAUGAACCGCUUCUAAUAGUCCAUUGACUUGGACAAUACUUUUAUGAUCUGAUCUCAAAUCAGGUAGGACUACCCGCUGAACUUAAGC
RNAcentral lists this unclassified non-coding RNA (379 nucleotides) under plant metagenome. RNAcentral's name for it is "partial contains 5.8S ribosomal RNA, internal transcribed spacer 2, and large subunit ribosomal RNA". The stretch from base 1 to 106 matches the Rfam family "5.8S ribosomal RNA", at positions 49 to 154 of the family's 154-position model. The record is from RNAcentral.